UGGCUCAGUGGGUGAGAGCACUGGCUGCUCUUCCAGAGGACCUGGGUUCCAUUCCCAG
This 58-nucleotide transfer RNA is filed under the name Mus musculus (house mouse). It matches the Rfam family "tRNA", at positions 8 to 63 of the family's 71-position model. Rfam says of the family: Transfer RNA (tRNA) molecules are approximately 80 nucleotides in length. The record is from Rfam by way of RNAcentral. Lineage: Eukaryota; Metazoa; Chordata; Mammalia; Rodentia; Muridae. RNAcentral also lists the same sequence under 1 other name.